CAAUAAGCGGAGGAAAAGAAACCAACAGGGAUUGCCCUAGUAACGGCGAGUGAAGCGGCAACAGCUCAGAUUUGGAAUCUGGCCCCCCUGGGGGCCCGAGUUGUAAUCUGGAGAGGGAGCCUCUGGCGCGGCGCCCGGCGAGUCCCCUGGAACGGGGCGCCGGAGAGGGUGAGAGCCCCGUACGGCGGGCCGCCGUGCCUCUGCGAGGCCCCUUCGACGAGUCGAGUAGUUUGGGAAUGCUGCUCCAAGCGGGAGGUAAAUUUCUUCUAAAGCUAAAUACCGGCCAGAGACCGAUAGCGCACAAGUAGAGUGAUCGAAAGAUGAAAAGCACUUUGAAAAGAGGGUCAAACAGUACGUGAAAUUGUUGAAAGGGAAGCGCCCGUGGCCAGACUCGCGCCCUGCGGACCACCCGGCGGACCCCGCCGGGGCGCUCUGCGGGGCGCGGGCCAGCAUCGGCCGCUGCGGGGGGACAAGGACGGCGGGAACGUGGCCCCUCCGGGGGUGUUACAGCCCGCCGCGCCAUGCCUCCGCGGCGGCCGAGG
This 542-nucleotide ribosomal RNA is filed under the name Raffaelea sp. RNAcentral describes it as "partial large subunit ribosomal RNA". It matches the Rfam family "Eukaryotic large subunit ribosomal RNA", at positions 44 to 591 of the family's 3401-position model. Lineage: Eukaryota; Fungi; Ascomycota; Sordariomycetes; Ophiostomatales; Ophiostomataceae. The record is from RNAcentral.